CCUACGGGAGGCAGCAGUGAGGAAUAUUGGUCAAUGGACGAGAGUCUGAACCAGCCAAGUAGCGUGAAGGAUGACUGCCCUAUGGGUUGUAAACUUCUUUUAUAUGGGAAUAAAACGUUCCACGUGUGGGAUUUUGUAUGUACCAUAUGAAUAAGGAUCGGCUAACUCUGUGCCAGCAGCCGCGGUAACACGGAGGAUCCGAGCGUUAUCCGGAUUUAUUGGGUUUAAAGGGAGCGUAGGUGGAUUGUUAAGUCAGUUGUGAAAGUUUGCGGCUCAACCGUAAAAUUGCAGUUGAAACUGGCAGUCUUGAGUACAGUAGAGGUGGGCGGAAUUCGUGGUGUAGCGGUGAAAUGCUUAGAUAUCACGAAGAACUCCGAUUGCGAAGGCAGUUCACUGGACUGCAACUGACACUGAGGCUCGAAAGUGUGGGUAUCAAACAGGAUUAGAUACCCUGGUAGUC
Molecule: ribosomal RNA, 460 nt
Filed under: uncultured bacterium
Lineage: Bacteria
Description: partial 16S ribosomal RNA
Rfam family: Bacterial small subunit ribosomal RNA
Source: RNAcentral